This 457-nucleotide ribosomal RNA is filed under the name uncultured Acholeplasma sp. Its description in RNAcentral is "bacterial SSU rRNA". It matches the Rfam family "Bacterial small subunit ribosomal RNA", at positions 920 to 1382 of the family's 1533-position model. The record is from RNAcentral. Lineage: Bacteria; Bacillati; Mycoplasmatota; Mollicutes; Acholeplasmatales; Acholeplasmataceae.
CCCGCACAAGCGGUGGAGCAUGUGGUUUAAUUCGACGAUACGCGAAGAACCUUACCAGGUCUUGACAUCCCCUGCAAAGCUAUGGAGACAUAGUGGAGGUUAUCAGGGAGACAGGUGGUGCAUGGUUGUCGUCAGCUCGUGUCGUGAGAUGUUGGGUUAAGUCCCGCAACGAGCGCAACCCUUAUUGCUAGUUACCAUCAUUAAGUUGGGGACUCUAGCGAGACUGCCAGUGAUAAACUGGAGGAAGGUGGGGAUGACGUCAAAUCAUCAUGCCCCUUAUGACCUGGGCUACAAACGUGAUACAAUGGCUGAAACAAAGGGCAGCGAAGGAGCGAUCUGGAGCGAAACCCAAAAAAGCAGUCUCAGUUCGGAUUGAAGUCUGCAACUCGACUUCAUGAAGUCGGAAUCGCUAGUAAUCGCAGGUCAGCAUACUGCGGUGAAUACGUUCCCGGGCCUU